This is a long non-coding RNA of Megachile rotundata (alfalfa leafcutting bee), 1517 nucleotides long. Lineage: Eukaryota; Metazoa; Arthropoda; Insecta; Hymenoptera; Megachilidae. The record is from RefSeq and is a predicted model, not a curated record.
UUCACAAAUUAACAUACGUUUUUCUCGGUGUCCAUGUUGACACGGCAUGUUUAUUCAUACGGGGAACAGGUUAAGUAUAGUUCUGCCAAUUGACAAUUUUACAGGCGGUAUCAUAACUGCAUAAACGUGGAUGUAGAAUUUUUCAUUAGUGGGUGUGUGAAGAAUGUUAAAAUGUAUAGUAAAAGAGUAAAAUGGAUGAAAUGAGUUUUAAAAAUGGCGCGAAAAGAUAACUGUACCGUCAUAUGAGUUAUAGGUAACGUAACCUGAACUUCUUCUGUAAAGAAGUAAACCAAUAAACUUAACAAAGCUGAACUUUUUCAUUGGUUCAUACUGUAUGACAGACGAUAUCAUAUAACUCACCCUACAGAAAAAGAAAUUAAAUAAGGGAGUCCUUAACUUCUGCCAACAUAAUGUAUACUGUGAUCAUAAUGAUGCGUGUUAUAUGUCACGUACCUUGCGGUAGGAAUAUUAUUCUGGUCUGAUCUAACCUGAUUCACCAACUGAAUUAACCUAACCUGAGUCACUAACUGAAUCGGAAUGGGUCAGAAAAAUAUCACAGUUAGCCACAGAAGUCAAGAUUCAUUAUCGAAGUUCGACGCCACAUCGAGAAGACGAAAGUAAUUCCUUGAGUAGGAUGCAGCAGGAGUAGGAUCUAAGGACAAAAUUUAUUCAAUUUUAAAAUAGUUUUACAUAAAAUUAUGUUUCAUUGUACAUCUUAUUAAAUUUUCACACUUGUUAACAUAAUUGGUGGCUCUAGAAACCGAUUUCUGAAAUACUUUAAGCUAUAAUGUCUGUUACGGUAUUUCGACAUUUUACCACAUAUCUUUCAAAAUGGCAUUCUAUCAGUGCGGUUCAGAAAUUUUCCAAAUGCACUGAUAAGUUUAAUGUGAAAUACUUUUACUCAGACCUUGAACUACAUUUAGAAAUUUUUGUUUGAAUAAAAAUUGUUUUAGAUUUGUUGAACAAUAGGGAAGCAAAUUAAUUUUGUUUCUUAUUAAUUUUUUUUAAAUACUGAAAUUAAGUGUUUCUUCUACUAGUAUGUGAUGACGUGACCAGUUAAGCAUUCUUUGGCGCGAUUUCACGUGAGACCGAAUUAUUAAACGAAUCAGUCGUAGUGUAUUUAUUACAUUGUAAAUAUUUACUGUAUUAAAGUAUUCUGAACAUUUACGUUGCUAACUAUACCAACAUAUAAUUGUCCUCGAUCUGAAACUCAUCAUAUCAACAAAAUCUAAAAUUUUGUAAUACACUUUUAUUAAUUUUUCUUACAUUAUAAAGUCACAUAAAUUCCUCAGAAUGUUGAAGGAAAAGAGAAAGGAAAAAGAUUACACAUAAAAAGAUGUUUGUGCAGCAGUAAAAGCCUUUAAAACAGAUACUUCGUUACAAGUAGCCAGUGAAAUGUUUUGUGUACCAAAAUUAAUUCAGAAGAAAUAAUUCCAUAGUAAUCGAUGGAAUAAAUUUUUUUAUUAAUAAACUAUUUGUAUUCCACAAAAGAAAUUUAGGAACUUGAGAAUUUUAGG